CCUACGGGAGGCAGCAGUAGGGAAUCUUAGACAAUGGGGGCAACCCUGAUCUAGCCAUGCCGCGUGUGUGAUGAAGGCCCUAGGGUCGUAAAGCACUUUCGCCAGAGAUGAUAAUGACAGUAUCUGGUAAAGAAACCCCGGCUAACUCCGUGCCAGCAGCCGCGGUAAUACGGAGGGGGUUAGCGUUGUUCGGAAUUACUGGGCGUAAAGCGCACGUAGGCGGAUUAGUAAGUUAGAGGUGAAAUCCCAGGGCUCAACCCUGGAACUGCCUUUAAUACUGCUAGUCUUGAGUUCGAGAGAGGUAAGUGGAAUUCCGAGUGUAGAGGUGAAAUUCGUAGAUAUUCGGAGGAACACCAGUGGCGAAGGCGGCUUACUGGCUCGAUACUGACGCUGAGGUGCGAAAGUGUGGGGAGCAAACAGGAUUAGAUACCCUGGUAGUCCACACCGUAAACGAUGAAUGCCAGACGUCAGCAAGUAUACUUGUUGGUGUCACACCUAACGGAUUAAGCAUUCCGCCUGGGGAGUACGGUCGCAAGAUUAAAACUCAAAUGAAUUGACGG
This 560-nucleotide ribosomal RNA is filed under the name uncultured Alphaproteobacteria bacterium. RNAcentral's name for it is "bacterial SSU rRNA". It matches the Rfam family "Bacterial small subunit ribosomal RNA", at positions 338 to 916 of the family's 1533-position model. The record is from RNAcentral. Lineage: Bacteria; Pseudomonadati; Pseudomonadota; Alphaproteobacteria.